RNAcentral lists this long non-coding RNA (1183 nucleotides) under Sus scrofa (pig). RNAcentral describes it as "lncRNA (ENSSSCG00070026547.1)". The record is from RNAcentral. Lineage: Eukaryota; Metazoa; Chordata; Mammalia; Artiodactyla; Suidae.
CCAGAGCCACAGCAACGCAGAAUCUGAGCCACGUCUGUGACCUACAUCACAGCUCACGGCAAGGCCAGAUCCUUAAGCCACUGAGCAAAGGCAGGGAUCGAACCACAACCUAAUGGUUCCUAGUGGGGUUCGUUAACCACUGCGCCACGAUGGGAACUCCUUGGCAAAUAAUUCCUUCUCUUUAGGCCUGAGAUUCUUCAUUUCUUUUUCUUUUUUUCUUUUUAGGGCUGCACGUGUGCCCAAUGGAAGUUCUCAGGCCAGGGGUUGAUUCGGAGCUGCAGCUGCUGGCCUAGACUACAGCCACAGCAACACCAGAUCUGAGCGUUGUCUGAAACCUACACUGCAGCUUUCAGCAACACUGGAUCCUUAGCCCAGCAAUGGAGGCCAGGGAUCAAAUGCGCAUCCUCAUGGACGCUCUGUCGGACUCUGUGAAGUUAUUUUAUUUUAUUAUUAUUAUUUUUUUUGAAGUUCUUUAUUUUAAACACGCUCCCAGGUGAUGCUGAUGCUGCUGGACAACAAAACCACCCUGAGUAGCAAGGACCUGGGAAGGACUUUGGCUUCCUGUGUGAUCGAAGGGGCUCGAAGGGGCUUCCAUGGAUGGGAACAUAAUGGACGUGACACACGGAAUAUCAUUGCAUAGAGUGCAUGGAAUGCUCUGAAUGGACCCAGACACGUUUACCACAGCAUCUUUGCUUUCAAUAGCUUGUUUGUAAUACUUAAAACUGUAAUAACAGGUUGUAAGUGGUAUUAUAUUUUCAUUUUGCCCAUAAUUUUUCAGCCUUUAAAAAAAAAUAGGCGCUUACAGAAACUGUCACAAAAGGGAAAUAUAUUGCUUUACACAAAUCAAGACUCCACCAGCCACUAACAUCAUAUUAGGUAGACAAUAGAAUAUCCUUGUUUUUUAUAUCCUCUUGUUAUACGACUCCUGAUCUAUUUAAAUCAAUACCUCUAACGUUUCUCAUCUCUUUGGGUACCUUUUCCUUGUCGAAAUAUUAAAGAACAUGCAUUUGACAUAAGACAGUGUGAUUUUAGGCCGUUUUAAUCAGUGCUAACGUUUAUUCUCUUGAAUGAGAAUUAAAUCUUUUUCGGGUUCAUCAUUUUAACCUUCCGAUUCCAUCCUUUGGUUGUGUUACCUCUGUAAGUUAUUUAAGGCGAAGAAUAAAUGUCUCCUUUAGAGUUAACA